RNAcentral lists this small nucleolar RNA (107 nucleotides) under Gossypium hirsutum (cotton). RNAcentral describes it as "Plant small nucleolar RNA R71". It matches the Rfam family "Plant small nucleolar RNA R71". Rfam says of the family: R71 is a member of the C/D box family of snoRNAs containing the C (UGAUGA) and D (CUGA) box motifs. The record is from Rfam by way of RNAcentral. Lineage: Eukaryota; Viridiplantae; Streptophyta; Magnoliopsida; Malvales; Malvaceae.
AUUCUGUGAUGAGGGCACUUCCGUAAUAAUUCUUUGUACAUUUCCCAUGCCUCAUACAAGGCCUCAUCAUCCAUUUGUUGGAAAACAGUGAUAUCAUUACUCAACUU